This 110-nucleotide ribosomal RNA is filed under the name Caerostris extrusa. The record is from RNAcentral. Lineage: Eukaryota; Metazoa; Arthropoda; Arachnida; Araneae; Araneidae.
AACGGCCAUACCAUGCUGAAUAUACCGGUUCUCGUUAGAUCACCGAAGUCAAGCAUCAUUGGGCGCGGUCAGUACUUGGGUGGGUGACCACCUGGGAACAUCGCGUGCCG